Long non-coding RNA from Mesocricetus auratus (golden hamster), 823 nucleotides. RefSeq lists it as uncharacterized. The transcript has 3 exons. Lineage: Eukaryota; Metazoa; Chordata; Mammalia; Rodentia; Cricetidae. The record is from RefSeq and is a predicted model, not a curated record.
GGAACUUGCUCUCUGGUCCUGCUGAGACGCUAAGGAGGUGAGGGCAUGGCAUCAGAUGAAGAGGGAAGAGAUUGCAGCACCGAUUCUGAUUUUCCUCUGCAGUAAAUCCUUGGUGAACAAUGGAAAGGGAAUCCACUUAGCCCAUGUGGAGCUUGUCAUAAGAAAUCACUGUGAACAGGGACCUUCAUGGAAACAGCACAGAUGUCAGCAGCAUUAAACAACUGGGUAUGCACUGCAGAUCCACUGAGCCUGAUCCUCCAACCUGUACUGAAGUUACAGCUGAUGGACCCUGGCUUGUCCCCAUGGGAGAGUCAACCUUUUCCCUCCAUAUGCAGCCACAGGCCCAGCCAGUGGGUACAAGGGUUUCCUGGGCAUCAGCAGAGUCAAAGCAGAAGUCGGUGGAGAGCCCCGCCCCCAGCAUGGUGGAGGGUGGUCAGCACUGUGGGCUGCGGGGAAGGAGUUGGAGGAGGAAGCCUCAGAAAGGAAAGAUGCACAGGCAGGCCCUCAGAUGUGAUUACAAAGUGAACCCUCCUUUCUGGAGAAAACUCAAGAGGCCCUGGAGUUCAAACCUUCCAGGAGCUGCCCAAGUGCACUGCCUCGGUGGACCACGUAAUGGGCCAAGCAAUGAGACGCCUUUCUAAGGUCAACUCCCUGAACACGAUGAAGCACAUUUAUUUCCCGAAGGUUUACCAGAGACACUGAACUCUGUAGUGUGCUAAAAACUAUGCUCCACUGUUUUUCAUACAAUUCGGCGGCGUCAAUUUCCAGCCCCAAGCACAUAGCCUCAGAGUAGAGGCAACAUACAUACAUACAUACAUACAUA